This is a long non-coding RNA of Rhea pennata, 1234 nucleotides long. RefSeq lists it as uncharacterized. Lineage: Eukaryota; Metazoa; Chordata; Aves; Rheiformes; Rheidae. The record is from RefSeq and is a predicted model, not a curated record. The transcript has 3 exons.
GCUGUAGUAAGUGCAGCUUUGCAACGAACAGCCGGCAGAGCCUGUGUCUGGGUGCUCCAGGCUGGUAAAGCAAUUCCCUUGUGAUCUGAAGCCGCUUGAAACGUUCCUUGCUAAAUACCGCAGCCGACCAAAACCCUCGGCCACGCGCGUUCCUCAGCCUGGCGCUUUCCUGGUGAUCAUCGAAGGGAACUUUUUUCUUUCUGUGCGCAGCAGCAGCAGCCGCCUCAGGCUAUUUUUCGUUUCUCCUCCGUAAGGAGGCGGAUGGAGUCCAAGCCCGGCGGUGUCCCCGGAUGCUUUGCCGCGUGGAAGGUCCGGCCGUGGAGAGGGGGCGACUGCUCCCCAGCAUCCCCAUCCCGUGCAGCGUCGCGCAGCAGUCAAGCAGAGCUUUGGGAUGACACUCUCGUCCAUCAGAGGCAGUUAUGGUGUGUGAGAACUGAAGCUGCUGCAACAGGGCCCCUCUCCUAUCACUGUUGUUCAUUAGCCUGCUGUGAUGGUGCUGGCUCCUCGUAAACCAGGGCAUCUUUGAAGACUGCCUCUACUAUGUUUGUGCCAGACAACACUUGGAAACAAAAACAAAGAAAUCCCAACAGUUUUAGCAGGAAGGAACCCACCUGAAACCAGAAUUGAGCUUUCAUUGCAUCUAAGAUACAGCCAGAGAUGACAAGUGAUCACUGAAAAGAAGGUAUGAAACAGCCAGUGCUAUUGUCCUAAUCCAUGCUGUGUGCUCAAGACAAUUCUGCUACGGAGUAUCACUGGAAAACCCUUUUUCUUCAUCUCUGUGCAAUGAAGGCGCCUGCAAAUGCUGUUAAAGGUGCUGAUCUUCCACACAGGUUGCCAGGAGCUCCAGCACUUAAUGGCACUUUUGAGAGGGAAUCUCUGAGUCGGAGGAAACACGUGCUAGUUGCUUGUGGAGGAAUAAAAUGCACAAGGUUUGCAUUAAAAAAAAUCAUUCAUGCUUAGUCAUCUAUAAAACAGUAAUAGCAGUGAAAAAGUUUCUCAGAAAGUAGAUGCUGAAUAAUAAGCCUUUCUCAUUGUGAGCACUAACAGAUGAUAUAAAAGCUAACAGUUUUCACCACUAAGUGGCUGCCUUAUACCUGUAUAUGAAUGUUGUGCACAUGAAUGGCGAUAGCCUGAGAACUUAGAAAUAUUCUUUAUAAAAAUGAGACAAUAGGCUAUGUACUUUAAAAAUCACUUUUGCAAAAUCAAGAGUAAACCCUCUUGCCUUAAAAAAAAA